This 339-nucleotide ribosomal RNA is filed under the name uncultured bacterium. RNAcentral's name for it is "bacterial SSU rRNA". It matches the Rfam family "Bacterial small subunit ribosomal RNA", at positions 1 to 334 of the family's 1533-position model. The record is from RNAcentral.
GUGAGUAGUUCAGAGUUUGAUCCUGGCUCAGGACGAACGCUGGCGGCGUGCCUAACACAUGCAAGUCGAGGGGUUUCGAAGAGCUUGCUCCGAGAAACGACCGGCGCACGGGUGAGUAACGCGUAUCCAACCUGCCCUUCAUAUUGGGAUAGCCUUCCGAAAGGGAGAUUAAUACCGAAUAACAUGAGAAGAUUGCAUGAACCUCUCAUGAAAGCUCCGGCGAUGAAGGAUGGGGAUGCGUUCCAUUAGGUAGUAGGCGGGGUAACGGCCCACCUAGCCGACGAUGGAUAGGGGUUCUGAGAGGAAGGUCCCCCACACUGGAACUGAGACACGGUCCAG